UCGGGAAUUUUGGGCAAUGGGCGAAAGCCUGACCCAGCAACGCCGCGUGAAGGAUGAAGUAUUUCGGUAUGUAAACUUCGAAAGAAUAGGAAGAAUAAAUGACGGUACUAUUUAUAAGGUCCGGCUAACUACGUGCCAGCAGCCGCGGUAAUACGUAGGGACCAAGCGUUGUUCGGAUUUACUGGGCGUAAAGGGCGCGUAGGCGGCAAUUCAAGUCAUCUGUGAAAUCUCCGGGCUUAACUCGGAACGGUCAGAUGAUACUGCUUUGCUAGAGUGCAGAAGGGGCAAUCGGAAUUCUUGGUGUAGCGGUGAAAUGCGUAGAUAUCAAGAGGAACACCUGAGGUGAAGACGGGUUGCUGGGCUGACACUGACGCUGAGGCGCGAAAGCCAGGGGAGCAAACGGGGAUUAGAUACCCNCGUAGUCCCUGAGCGGGCUGGCAAGGCGCAU
RNAcentral lists this ribosomal RNA (448 nucleotides) under uncultured bacterium. Its description in RNAcentral is "bacterial SSU rRNA". It matches the Rfam family "Bacterial small subunit ribosomal RNA", at positions 355 to 825 of the family's 1533-position model. The record is from RNAcentral.